Molecule: ribosomal RNA, 494 nt
Filed under: uncultured bacterium
Lineage: Bacteria
Description: partial 16S ribosomal RNA
Rfam family: Bacterial small subunit ribosomal RNA
Source: RNAcentral
GACGAACGCUGGCGGCGUGCUUAACACAUGCAAGUCGAACGGUGAAGCGCCUUCCUUUUUGGUGGGUGUGGAUGAGUGGCGAACGGGUGAGUAACACGUGAGUAACCUGCCCCCUUCUUCUGGAUAACCGCAUGAAAGUGUGGCUAAUACGGGAUAUUCUGGGUCUGUCGCAUGAUGGGUCUGGGAAAGAUAUUGUUUCGGUGGGGGAUGGGCUCGCGGCCUAUUAGCUUGUUGGUGGGGUGAUGGCCUACCAAGGCGGUGACGGGUAGCCGGCCUGAGAGGGUGGACGGUCACACUGGGACUGAGACACGGCCCAGACUCCUACGGGAGGCAGCAGUGGGGAAUAGUGCACAAUGGGCGCAAGCCUGAUGCAGCGACGCCGCGUGAGGGAUGGAGGCCUUCGGGUUGUGAACCUCUUUCGCCAGUGAAGCAGGCCUGCCUCGUUUGUGGGUGGGUUGACGGUAGCUGGAUAAGAAGCGCCGGCUAACUACGUG